RNAcentral lists this long non-coding RNA (1742 nucleotides) under Lynx pardinus (Iberian lynx). The record is from RNAcentral. Lineage: Eukaryota; Metazoa; Chordata; Mammalia; Carnivora; Felidae.
UAAAACAUUAAGUUUGAUGUUUGCAGGUAGGUUACCUUCCUACUGGAGUUUGUUCGACAAAUGAAUGACUCUGAUGCCUCCAUUUUCUUAUUAGGAAUGUAGAACUACCUACCUGGAAUGAAACCAGGAGAUUUCUAUCUCAAAAGUAGGUAAUUACAGAUAAGGUCUUUAGCUAAUUCCCUGUUAAAAUGUGUUAAAAUCAGAUGAGUGAUAAUACCUUUUACAAUUCAGCAACCUUCUGUAAUACGCAAGUAAAAUGUUAAUAAAGUAUUUAUGGGUAGCAUAAACCAAGGCUGAAUUCUAGUAGGCAGGAUCCAAUGAGGAGCAAGGAGACUUGCCCUCAGGGAGGGUCAGCAGGUUGUGUAUCCUGGUCAAGCCACUCUGCUUCUACCUCCAUAAUGGGGGGGACAGUACUAAUGAUCUCUCCCUUAUCUACUUCAUAAAUCAUUCGGAGUGCCUCAAGAACAGGUCAUAUUCAUAUCAUCAUUCAUCUUACCUCACAAGGGGCUUCGAUGCACUGAGAUCUUUAUAGGGACCUGGUAAAUAUGACUAUCUGCUUCCUCUCUCCCCACAGGGCAAAGGGGAGGCGAUGGAGGCGGUGAAAGCAGCUCAGAUCAGUACCCACCUCUGUUCCGACGGAUACUGGUUUUCAGGCAUCAUCUUUGGCAUCUGCAGGGGCUGAUGGGGUGGCCGGGGGACCGCAAAGGUUUGCUGCUGUGGUCCAGGUUCAGGAAGCGAAUGAGGGGCGGGGGCGGGGCCCACACCUUGUACCGGGCCAGCUGCAGGGGCAUGUGCAGAGGUGGGCAGAGUUGCCUGAGGUGGGGGAAAUAGGGAGUUCUGAUGGGUGGGUGACAGGGGGGUGGUGGGAGGGGUUAAUGGCUUGAACCCAGAGGGAGGCUUCCUAUCAUAGGCACUGUAAACAGAAAAAGAGAAGGAACCGUUAAGCUGCAAUGAAGCCAUUAGCAUGGUCACCAGAUCCAGCAGAACAGCUAGGCUAGGUUGCAGUCCAUGUUGCCAGGAAAUGACAGCAUUAACAUAGUUAAAUUGCUGGCAGCCCCGAGGGAAUAUUUGUACCUCUGAAAAGUGACAAACACACUGCGUCACAGGGACUUGUUUAACACUUCUAGUGAUUCUUCUCAAAGAUAAUUUUAGCCUCUGUUUCCGGUUUCCUUUUCCCCCCUUCUAACAGAAUUCUCCAUGUAUGUGUGUGUAGGGACGGAUGGGUGGAAGAGGGGAGAGUUUAUGCCCUGGGAGGUUUCUGGCCCACUCUCCCAAGUAUUCCAGGGUUCCCAGGAACUAGUCAGAAUCUCUGUUGCAGAUAAAUUUCUGCUGUAACAUCACUUGAAUUAACGACUCUUCUCCCCCUUUCAGGCAGAUCUAUGUUUAUCUUCUAGAGCAAAGAAUGAUUUAAAAUUAAAGCCUCAUUCCUGGGGCCUGGAUAUUCCUAAGUAAAGGGCACAAGCCUUGGGACUUUUUCAUAUAUUCUGAUUUGAAGAUUACUUCUUUGGUGCUUAAAGUUCACAUUAACAUAUGAUAGACAUGAAGAAGUAUAUAUUCCCUCCCUAGAAGCCACAGAUCAAAUAUCUCAGUAUUCAAGGUUCUUUCCCUUAGGAGGGCUCAGUACCCCAUGAACUCAGUUCCCCCAUGGAGCCAGUUUAGCAGUUUUGCUUUUUAUGUGCAGCACAAAGGCCCCAUUUGGACUGGCCUACACUAGGGGAUUACGUUGCCAUGAAAGACCAGGA